This 460-nucleotide ribosomal RNA is filed under the name uncultured bacterium. RNAcentral describes it as "partial 16S ribosomal RNA". It matches the Rfam family "Bacterial small subunit ribosomal RNA", at positions 338 to 795 of the family's 1533-position model. The record is from RNAcentral.
CCUACGGGUGGCAGCAGUGAGGAAUAUUGGUCAAUGGACGGAAGUCUGAACCAGCCAUGCCGCGUGCAGGAAGACGGCUCUAUGAGUUGUAAACUGCUUUUGUACAAGGGUAAACCUGAAUACGUGUAUUCAGCUGAAAGUACUGUACGAAUAAGGAUCGGCUAACUCCGUGCCAGCAGCCGCGGUAAUACGGAGGAUCGAAGCGUUAUCCGGAUUUAUUGGGUUUAAAGGGUGCGUAGGCGGGUUGAUAAGUUUGAGGUGAAAUGUCCGGGCGUAACUCGGGAACUGCCUCUUAUACUGUUGAUCUAGGGAGUAGAUGCAGUAGUCGGAAUGUAUGGUGUAGCGGUUAAAUGCUUAGAGAUCAUACAGAACACCGAUUGCGAAGGCAGCUUACCAAGCUAUAACUGACGUUGAGGCACGAAAGCGUGGGGAGCAAACAGGAUUAGAUACCCCUGUAGUC